AUGUUUUUUAAUGAAAUAGCCAUUUUCAUUUUCACUUUGAUGGUCUGCUGUACUUUCCCACCCCACAUGUACACAUCACCUUUCCUUGUACAUAAAGCCCAUUUUCUUCCUGCCUCUUUCCCCAUAGAACCUGCCCCUGUCUCUUCACAGGAAGAGUCCUUACCUUGGAGGCGCAACCGUCAUUGUGCUGGCCAGCUUCUGGCAGACCUUCCCAGCAGGUUCACUGUAUAUUGUCCAGGGAGUCUGAUCUCCAGUGGUGAACAGAGCUUGGACCCAAUUUGGGAUUCCUACCACAUUGAAAAAAAAAAAAAAAGGAAAUACAAUGCUAUAUGAUAAACUCAACUUCCAAGAAAUGGAGGUACUCCUAAACAAUUCUCACCUGUAAAUAACUCAUUUCCUUACAUAUAAAUAAAAUUCUCCCUGGAUAUGUAGACAUUUCACACAUAAGCCAAUUAGUUGCAAAUCUUCCCACCUGUAACACAUGAUGCUGAGACUUCUUCAGUCAUUCUUCCAGAAAUCUCACGGAGCAACAACUGUCUCUCAGGUAAAAGCCACACAAAGGGAAGCAGCACCAAGCAGACAGACACGUCCCUUGGUUUCAUGGAUGCUGAGCCAAAUAGGGUGUAAUGGGAGGGGGACCGUCACUUACAGACUCUAUUGCCGGGGAGGGUCUUGUGGCUGUGAACAUGUGGGUGAAGCCUUUUAACUUCUAUAUGACACAUUUCACUGAAAGGAAACCAGAAAGCUUUGGAACAAGGCCCACUGAAUCUUUGCCAUUGUGAUUCUGGCAUGAAGGCCUUAUUUGCCUCACAAGGGCAUCAACACAAGAAAUUACGUGUAGAUUUAAAAAAUCUGGAAGGAGGCAUAGAUUUGUCUUCAGCUGAGCAGGAAACAGGCUCUCGCCCAUAUCAUCUCUCCCUGGUUAAUCUACAGUGUUAAUAAUCUAUACCACACUCUUCAGAGCUUCAGUACUGCUCUUGCGCCAUCUGGUACAAUUUUACGUGGCUUCUAGUCCAUCUAUGAGUUAGCUGCCCCACAAGCUAGUUAGCUCCUUGAAGGCAUGGAGUUGCCUCUCUCCUUGAGACUGAGCUCAGGCUGGCUCUGCAGUGCAACUUAGUGACCCCUGCCCCAGUAGGCCCCACUGUAUUCAGGCCUUCCUGCGGUAUCCCCACCCCUUUUCUUCUUCAAACCUGUCACUGUGGACUUGGCCUUUUGCCCCAGCAUCCUCAUUUGCCUUCAUCCCUCGGGCUUUAUCUCUGUUAUCUUCUUUCUCUAUCCUCUCCCCAGCUUGAAGGGGUUCUGCUUUCUAUUCAUUCACAUAAUGUACCUUUCCUGAGCAUUACUGUAUACCAGGCACUGUGCUGGAUUCUAAAGACAUGAAGACAGCUAGGACAUGGCUUCCUGCCUUAGUGGGGCUCAUAGUCCCAUGAGGGGAGAGACCCAAGCGAAUCACGGAUUACGGAACCAUGUGAAAAACAACACACAGAGGUAGGUGCAGGGUGCUGUGAGAAGCCUAGGAAUGGAAGUCAGUGGGAGCAUUAAAUCAGACCCCCCCCAAGCAUAAAAGGGGGUUUUAACACUUUCAAGGGUCAGUGUGUGAUAAACAGAUGACCCUAAAAUAUUCAAGCUACAAAAAACCUAAAUACCCUAAUGCACUGUCAGUUCACAGGGGAAGAAAGAGACCCAGUGAGGGGAAAGUCAUUGCCAAAGGUCACACCCCCGGAUGCUGGUGAAGCCAAGACUACAACCAGAGCUGGAGUGUAGCCAGAUUUGGUGGUAAGGAGGGGUGGUGGAAGGGUGAUGGUGCAACAAUUCAGGUGUAGAGGAAAAACAGAAACAGUUAAGCAGUUAGUACAAUAAAUUGGGUGAGAAACGACAGAUGAAGAAAUGAUGGUGGUAUGGACCAGGUGGAGGAGCUAAAAAGAGGUCAGACGGUACCUACAUUUAAAAAGGAAAGCUGACAGAAUUUACUCAUCCUCUGGAUAUGGUGUGCGGAAGAAAGAAGAAUCCAGGAUGGCUCUAAAGUUAGUAUCUGAGCAGUUGGAAACUUAAGAGUUCAACAGUGAAGAUGCAGAAGAUGAUAGAAGGAACAGAGGAAAAUCUACAGUGUUAAUAAUCUAUACCACACUCUUCAGAGCUUCAGUACUGCUCUUGCGCCAUCUGGUACAAUUUUACGUGGCUUCUAGUCCAUCUAUGAGUUAGCUGCCCCACAAGCUAGUUAGCUCCUUGAAGGCAUGGAGUUGCCUCUCUCCUUGAGACUGAGCUCAGGCUGGCUCUGCAGUGCAACUUAGUGACCCCUGCCCCAGUAGGCCCCACUGUAUUCAGGCCUUCCUGCGGUAUCCCCACCCCUUUUCUUCUUCAAACCUGUCACUGUGGACUUGGCCUUUUGCCCCAGCAUCCUCAUUUGCCUUCAUCCCUCGGGGCUUUAUCUCUGUUAUCUUCUUUUCUCUAUCCUCUCCCCAGCUUGAAGGGGUUCUGCUUUCUAUUCAUUCACAUAAUGUACCUUUCCUGAGCAUUACUGUAUACCAGGCACUGUGCUGGAUUCUAAAGACAUGAAGACAGCUAGGACAUGGCUUCCUGCCUUAGUGGGGCUCAUAGUCCCAUGAGGGGAGAGACCCAAGCGAAUCACGGAUUACGGAACCAUGUGAAAAACAACACACAGAGGUAGGUGCAGGGUGCUGUGAGAAGCCUAGGAAUGGAAGUCAGUGGGAGCAUUAAAUCAGACCCCCAAGCAUAAAGGGGUU
This is a long non-coding RNA of Bos grunniens (domestic yak), 2744 nucleotides long. Lineage: Eukaryota; Metazoa; Chordata; Mammalia; Artiodactyla; Bovidae. The record is from Ensembl.